RNAcentral lists this unclassified non-coding RNA (342 nucleotides) under soil metagenome. RNAcentral describes it as "partial contains 5.8S ribosomal RNA, internal transcribed spacer 2, and large subunit ribosomal RNA". The stretch from base 1 to 120 matches the Rfam family "5.8S ribosomal RNA", at positions 35 to 154 of the family's 154-position model. The record is from RNAcentral.
GAUGAAGAACGUAGCGAAAUGCGAUAAGUAAUGUGAAUUGCAGAAUUCAGUGAAUCAUCGAAUCUUUGAACGCACAUUGCGCCCGGCAGUAUUCUGCCGGGCAUGCCUGUUCGAGCGUCAUUUCAACCAUCAAGCCCCCAGGGGCUUGUGCUGGGGCCCUGCGGCUGCCCGCAGGCCCUGAAAACCAGUGGCGGGCUCGCUAGUCACACCGAGCGCAGUAGCACAUCUCGCUCAGGGCGUGCGGCGGGCUCCUGCCGUGAAACCCCCCACUGUAACCCCAAAGGUUGACCUCGGAUCAGGUAGGAAUACCCGCUGAACUUAAGCAUAUCAAUAAGCGGAGGA